Molecule: ribosomal RNA, 523 nt
Filed under: Halichoeres marginatus (dusky wrasse)
Lineage: Eukaryota; Metazoa; Chordata; Actinopteri; Labriformes; Labridae
Description: partial 12S ribosomal RNA
Rfam family: Bacterial small subunit ribosomal RNA
Source: RNAcentral
ACUGGGAUUAGAUACCCCACUAUGCUUAGCCCUAAACAUAGAUACUAACCUACUUAUUUUAUCCGCCUGGGAACUACGAGCGUCAGCUUAAAACCCAAAGGACUUGGCGGUGCUUUAGAUCCACCUAGAGGAGCCUGUUCUAGAACCGAUAAUCCCCGUUAAACCUCACCUUUCCUUGUUCUUAUUCCGCCUAUAUACCGCCGUCGUCAGCUUACUCUGUGAAGAUCCCAUAGUAGGCACAAUCGGUACAGCCCAAAACGCCAGGUCGAGGUGUAGCGUAUGGAAAGGGAAGAAAUGGGCUACAUUCAGUAAUUUAAUGAAUACGGAUGACAUCCUGAAAAAAAUGUCUGAAGGAGGAUUUAGCAGUAAGUGGAGAAUAGAGUGCUCUACUGAAUCUGGCCCUGAAGCGCGCACACACCGCCCGUCACUCUCCCCGAGCUAAUAAAAGCACAUAAYUAAUAAACGAGACCUGCAAAGGGGAGGCAAGUCGUAACAUGGUAAGUGUACCGGAAGGUGCACUUGG